RNAcentral lists this ribosomal RNA (891 nucleotides) under uncultured soil bacterium. Its description in RNAcentral is "bacterial SSU rRNA". It matches the Rfam family "Bacterial small subunit ribosomal RNA", at positions 60 to 983 of the family's 1533-position model. The record is from RNAcentral.
AGCUCGGAUCAGAAUCUAGAGCAAUCCAUGAGUACAGUGGCGUACGGGUGAGUAACACGUGGGUAAUCUACCUCUUAGUGGGGAAUAACCCUGGGAAACCGGGGCUAAUACCGCAUAAUCUCGAGAGAGGAAAGCAGCAAUGCGCUGAGAGAGGAGCCCGCGGCCGAUUAGCUUGUUGGCAGGGUAAAAGCCUACCAAGGCAUAGAUCGGUAGCCGGCCUGAGAGGGCACACGGCCACACUGGCACUGAAACACGGGCCAGACUCCUACGGGAGGCAGCAGUGGGGAAUCUUGCACAAUGGGGGAAACCCUGAUGCAGCGACGCCGCGUGAGCGAUGAAGCCCUUCGGGGUGUAAAGCUCUUUCGGCAGGGAAGAUGAUGACGGUACCUGCAGAAGCAGCUGCGGCUAACUACGUGCCAGCAGCCGCGGUAAUACGUAGGCAGCGAGCGUUGUUCGGAGUUACUGGGCGUAAAGGGUGUGUAGGCGGUUGUUUAAGUUUGGUGUGAAAUCUCCCGGCUCAACUGGGAGGGUGCGCCGAAUACUGAAUGACUUCGAGUGCGGGAGAGGAGAGUGGAAUUCCUGGUGUAGCGGUGAAAUGCGUAGAUAUCAGGAGGAACACCGGCGGUGUAGACGGCUCUCUGGACCGUAACUGACGCUGAAACACGAAAGCGUGGGUAGCAAACAGGAUUAGAUACCCUGGUAGUCCACGCCCUAAACGAUGCAUAUUUGGUGUGGGUCAUUCAGUUGAUCCGUGCCGGAGCUAACGCGUUAAAUAUGCCGCCUGGGGAGUACAGUCGCAAGGCUGAAACUCAAAGGAAUUGACGGGGGCCCGCACAAGCGGUGGAGCAUGUGGUUCAAUUCGACGCAACGCGAAAACCUUACCUGGGCUCG